Molecule: ribosomal RNA, 477 nt
Filed under: uncultured bacterium
Lineage: Bacteria
Description: partial 16S ribosomal RNA
Rfam family: Bacterial small subunit ribosomal RNA
Source: RNAcentral
AUUGAACGCUGGCGGCAUGCCUUACACAUGCAAGUCGAACGGUAACAGGUUAAGCUGACGAGUGGCGACCGGGUGAGUAAUGUAUCGGAACGUGCCCAGUCGUGGGGGAUAACUGCUCGAAAGAGCAGCUAAUACCGCAUACGACCUGAGGGUGAAAGCGGGGGAUCGCAAGACCUCGCGCGAUUGGAGCGGCCGAUAUCAGAUUAGGUAGUUGGUGAGGUAAAGGCUCACCAAGCCGACGAUCUGUAGCUGGUCUGAGAGGACGACCAGCCACACUGGGACUGAGACACGGCCCAGACUCCUACGGGAGGCAGCAGUGGGGAAUUUUGGACAAUGGGCGCAAGCCUGAUCCAGCCAUGCCGCGUGCGGGAAGAAGGCCUUCGGGUUGUAAACCGCUUUUGUCAGGGAAGAAAAGGUUCUGGCUAAUACCUGGGACUCAUGACGGUACCUGAAGAAUAAGCACCGGCUAACUACGUG